UUAUAUGGAGAGUUUGAUCCUGGCUCAGGACGAACGCUGGCGGCGUGCCUAAUACAUGCAAGUCGAGCGGACGGAUGGGAGCUUGCUCCCAGACCGUCAGCGGCGGACGGGUGAGUAACACGUGGGCAACCUGCCUGUAAGACUGGGAUAACUCCGGGAAACCGGGGCUAAUACCGGAUAACUCUUUCCCUCACAUGAGGGAAAGCUGAAAGAUGGCAUCUCGCUAUCACUUACAGAUGGGCCCGCGGCGCAUUAGCUAGUUGGUGAGGUAACGGCUCACCAAGGCGACGAUGCGUAGCCGACCUGAGAGGGUGAUCGGCCACACUGGGACUGAGACACGGCCCAGACUCCUACGGGAGGCAGCAGUAGG
This 370-nucleotide ribosomal RNA is filed under the name Cytobacillus firmus. RNAcentral's name for it is "bacterial SSU rRNA". It matches the Rfam family "Bacterial small subunit ribosomal RNA", at positions 1 to 358 of the family's 1533-position model. Lineage: Bacteria; Bacillati; Bacillota; Bacilli; Caryophanales; Bacillaceae. The record is from RNAcentral.